AUACGGAGGAUCCGAGCGUUAUCCGGAUUUAUUGGGUUUAAAGGGUGCGCAGGCGGCCGUUUAAGUCAGCGGUUAAAUCGUGGGGCUCAACCCCAUUCUGCCGUUGAUACUGGGUGGCUUGAUUGCGGUCGAGGUUGGCGGAAUUCGUUGUGUAGCGGUGAAAUGCAUAGAUAUGACGAAGAACACCGAUUGCGUAGGCAGCUGACCAGACCGCAAAUGACGCUCAUGCACGAAAGUGCGGGGAUCGAACAGGAUUAGAUACCCUGGUAGUCCGCACAGUAAACGAUGAAUACUUGUUUUCGGCGAUAUAAUGUCGGAGGCAAAGCGAAAGCGAUAAGUAUUCCACCUGGGGAGUACGCCGGCAACGGUGAAACUCAAAGGAAUUGGCGGGG
This 392-nucleotide ribosomal RNA is filed under the name uncultured bacterium. RNAcentral describes it as "partial 16S ribosomal RNA". It matches the Rfam family "Bacterial small subunit ribosomal RNA", at positions 523 to 918 of the family's 1533-position model. The record is from RNAcentral.